Pan paniscus (pygmy chimpanzee) is the source of this 231-nucleotide unclassified non-coding RNA. It matches the Rfam family "Metazoan signal recognition particle RNA". Rfam says of the family: The signal recognition particle (SRP) is a universally conserved ribonucleoprotein. It is involved in the co-translational targeting of proteins to membranes. The record is from Ensembl. Lineage: Eukaryota; Metazoa; Chordata; Mammalia; Primates; Hominidae.
GCUGAGAGCUGAGGCAGGAAGGAUCACUUGAACCCAGGAGCUGUGGGCUGCAGUGUGCUAUACUAUUCGGGUGUCUGCACUAAGUUCGCCAUCAAUAUGGUGACUUCCCAAGAGUGAGGGGCCACCAGGUUGCCUAAGGAGGGGUGAACUGGCCCAAGUCAGAAACUGAGCAGGUCAAAACUCCCGUGCAGCGCUGGGCGCAGUAGCUUACACCUGUAAUCCCAGCACUUU